UCACGGCACACACAUACCGUCUGACGGUCACCAGUGGGGACGAAGAAAAGAUUCCGACUGCCACGCUCGCUGCAUCGGUGGAGUGCUCCUGGACAACAAAAGGCUGGGCCGGAAAGCGAGGCCUCGGAUGAACCCAUCGUGUUUCGUAAGACGGAAAAAAGUGCCACGCAGCCGAUAAAUCGCCAGAUCAUCAGGAGAGGAAACUCCAAACAUAGUUCAAGACAAGGGUUGACCAUUCGGUUUGCCGUGACCGAAUAAGACCGAGCAGGACACACACCAAGAGCAGCAGAGGACUUGAGGCGGCACGGAAGGAACUUCUCCACAGUUACGGGUGCGGAUAAAUUCCCCCGCGCGGAGUGUGCUCGAGCGAAGCUCAUUGAGCAAGCCAGGCAGAACGUGCAUAGGAUCCAGUAUACGGGAACUUCCUACCACAACGGAUAGCGACCGGUAGCCAACGUAUCAAACAUUCGCCGUAAAAGAGAGCCUCCUAGGAGGCUCUUGUUUGGGAAUUAUUUCGUUGCGGAUUUUGGUGGAAACGGCACUCGGCGCCGACUGGAUCAAGCCGUGCAAACAAAGGUGGCUUAAGGUGCGAUCGACGAGCGACUCAAGGUGCGAUUUUGGCAGCAAGCCAUUCUCUCCCGACGAUUGCAGUCCGGGAACAGGAUCACACCCGCGCUGUGCACCAAGGCACUCCAGGACGCAGUCAAAGUGGCGACCGAUGUGCGGUCCAAGUUUUUCCCCUAGUCGGCAUCAAUAGCGGGAGCAGUGCAUGCACGGGCUCAUGGAGCGGUGUGUUCGCGAGGUAGCCGUACGCCGUGUCGAAGGCCGUAGGAGUCAAAUGAAGGGAAGCUGUAGGCGUGAGUAGCCACGAGAUGUGGAGGCAAAUGACAAGUGAAUGUGAAUGAAGAAGGGAAGUAGAGGAACAGAAAUAGGAAGAUUAGCAGGCAGGAAGGAUAGAAGUUGAGAUACACAGGGGAAAUUGAUGAAGAGCAGAUAGCGCAUAAGAAAUAAAAUGUUUGCACACAA
Armigeres subalbatus is the source of this 1026-nucleotide long non-coding RNA. RefSeq lists it as uncharacterized. The record is from RefSeq and is a predicted model, not a curated record. Lineage: Eukaryota; Metazoa; Arthropoda; Insecta; Diptera; Culicidae. The transcript has 4 exons.